ACUGCAAGUUUUACUUGUGACUUUGAUGCUUCGUAGGUGCUUAAAAGUAUUUAGGUGGGUGGUCCGACAUCGCUGCGUCCAGCAGUCCAACACCGCUGCCGGAGGCCGUUCACUGUCGCAAUGCCUACUUUCACCCGCGCCUCCUUCCCAGUCAUCGUGAGUGCUGCUUUGAUUCAGACCUGAUGGAAGAAGGCAGAACCUCUCUCUCGUACGCAGUGAAGAAUACACAGCAGGAUCUGCCCCAGCAAACCACAUGUCACCGGAGGCGCUCUGCCUCUCCUAUGCACCCCCUGCUUCCAUCUCCCUCCACCGCCGCCCUCCCUUACCCCUCCGCAGUUCUUGGCACCACGGCUGUUGCCCCGCACUGGAUCGAUGCGCCGCUAUCGCUCUGCCGCCGCAUACAGAGAGUUCAACGCCGCAACCCCGUCCGUUCAAUCUCGCCGCCAUGGGCGUGCCCCACUCCAACUCCCUCGCAUGUGCUUCCGUGGUGAAACAGUGCAACAAGGAACCGUGGGGGGGGGGGGGGGGGGGGGGGGGGGGGGGUCGAGGACGUCCAGCUCGGCAGUCCAACUCGGCAUGAUUCACGUCAUCGUUGGCCCCAUGUUCGCUGGCAAGGCCACCGCGCUUCUCCGCCAGCACCAGCAGCUGUAAGAUAGAAAUUUUUCUCUCUUGUCUAUCUUGGUUCCCAGGAAAAUUGGGUUGGGAGUCGACAAGCCGGGCAAAAUGUGUUGCUACUUCUACAAUAUCAAAGAUGAUGAGAUUCUGGUCUUGCUCGUCGAGGACCCAAUCACAGGGCAGUCUGUCGCUGCUGCAAUGCAUUAGGAAAAGUUCAAGUUUCCUAUUAGAUUUAGUUCUAUUGGAAAAGGGCCGCCCUCACCGCGCUUAUCCCCGUCACCGGAGGGCCGGCGUGCAGGGGUUGGGCCACAGCCGACAGUUCCGGUCAUCCCUUGCCACUGCUCAAUCUUCUCGCCUAACCCCCUUCCUCCCCGAUCUGCUACUGAUGUACCCCAACUACCACUGGAGCUUCGGGGAGCACUCCUCCGUCCAAGUUGAGCAUUGGGCGCCGUCUGAGUAGAGCACUACACCCCGUCCAAGUUCCCAUCUAAUGUUGAACGUUAAAUUUUGUCAUGUUGAAAUAAUAUAGCGCUGAGCACCCUACAAUUUUUUUUUGCUUGAGCGCUGAGCAAACAGUGGAGCCUGGAGGAGUCACGGGGUCGAGGACCUCUUGCUCAACAGUACAACUUGUUUUGUGCCCGGUCGCUCAAGGAGCUGAGUGCAGGCCGCAGAAAAAAACAUUUGUCGGGUUUUUGACGGCCAAAUAUUAUUGAUAUGGAGAUGAAUAACUAUGCGGAUGUGCUCCUGUUGUUUUUCUGGAGAAAACAAGAUGCCAUGUUUACACAUCCAUAUUUAAUUUUGGAAGGUUCACACAUCCAUAUUAGAGAGAUUCAUUGGACAUAAUUUUGUAAGGUCAGAAAAAGCAAUUGCUCAGUACAUCACAGCAACUCUUCGAUGCAAAAAGGAUGGCUCUUCUCAAGUCAGCAGCUAACCAAACUGGCAACUUCAGGGUAGCUCAGUCAAAUAUGGCAGCUGUGUUGUCGGGUGGUAGGUGCGACAUAUGCCAACGGGUGGCUUAUCAUUGUGGGAGCCAGUAAGACAUCGCCGGUGCCUGGAAACGGGAUGAGGCAAAGACAUGCACGCCGGCGAAUCUUACCCAGGUUCGGGGCUCUUCGUGGAGAUAACACCCCUAGUCCUGCUUUGCGGGGUCUCCACAUGAUCACUAAAUCAACAUAAGUAGCUAUAAGUGGCUCUUUGAGCUGUUCGGCUAGAGGAAGAAGAAGGGCAAGGCUAGUUUUUCUUUUCUCUUUAUGUGGUGUCUAAAACUCUAAGAGAUCAACCCUUUGCAUGGGUGUCCUGGGAGGUUUAUAUAGGCCUACCCCUCAAGGGCACAAUGGUAAUCCGGCUAGAUGCGGGCCCUAGCCGUCAGUGCCUGUAUUCGCCGGCUUCUCCGCCGACCGCUGGGCCCGCCGACUGGUGGGUCUCUCGCCGGCUGCCGGCCUC
This is a long non-coding RNA of Aegilops tauschii subsp. strangulata, 2058 nucleotides long. RefSeq lists it as uncharacterized. The record is from RefSeq and is a predicted model, not a curated record. Lineage: Eukaryota; Viridiplantae; Streptophyta; Magnoliopsida; Poales; Poaceae.